AUCCAAGGCUGAGGAGUGAGAUCUGCAAGGUGCUAGCACAUUGAUGAUCUCGAUGCUCUAAUUAGAUAUUUCUGUAUGGAUACCAGUAGAGGUCAGACACGUGCGCGGCUACGAUCAGAAUCCCAGACAUCCGUAGGAUCCAAAGUAUGGAGAUCUGAUCUCCAUUUUGAUUUUACUAACGAUUGUUUUUCAUUUCAAAUUUUAGAUCAUGGG
RNAcentral lists this long non-coding RNA (213 nucleotides) under Elaeis guineensis (African oil palm). RNAcentral's name for it is "long non-coding RNA (EGUI_LNC053016)". The record is from RNAcentral. Lineage: Eukaryota; Viridiplantae; Streptophyta; Magnoliopsida; Arecales; Arecaceae.